This 253-nucleotide ribosomal RNA is filed under the name uncultured bacterium. Its description in RNAcentral is "partial 16S ribosomal RNA". It matches the Rfam family "Bacterial small subunit ribosomal RNA", at positions 524 to 776 of the family's 1533-position model. The record is from RNAcentral.
UACAGAGGGCUCAAGCGUUGUUCGGAUUCAUUGGGCGUAAAGGGUGCGUAGGCGGCGCGGUAAGUCGGGGGUGAAAUCUCGGGGCUUAACUCCGAAACUGCAUUCGAUACUGCCGUGCUUGAGGACUGGAGAGGAGACUGGAAUUUACGGUGUAGCGGUGAAAUGCGUAGAGAUCCUGAGGAAGACCAGUGGCGAAGGCGGGUCUCUGGACAGUUCCUGACGCUGAGACACGAAGGCCAGGGGAGCAAACGGG